Molecule: non-coding RNA, 1771 nt
Organism: Phalacrocorax carbo (great cormorant)
Lineage: Eukaryota; Metazoa; Chordata; Aves; Suliformes; Phalacrocoracidae
Source: RefSeq, a predicted model, not a curated record
GCCCCGCCCACCCCGCUGCCGCCGUGGGGUCCCGCUGGCCGGGGGCGGCCCGGCGCGGGAGGGGCCCCCGUUUGGCGUGUGCGGGCUCCCCCCCCAUUACCUUUUUGCGGGGGCUUCCCCGCGCCGCGCUACCGGCGGGGACCCCCGAUGUGGGGGGGGAUGUGGUUUAGACCCGCGGCGUGCGGAGGGGACCCCCCCUCUUUAAGGGGGGGAGGUACCGGGGAGCGGGUGCGGGGCCGCCGCGGUGCGGGGCCGCGGAGCGGCAGCAGCAGCCGCCGCCGCCCGGGGCUCCGGUCCGGCGGGACGCGGCCUGGGGACAGCCGGUUGCUUUUAAGCCCCCCCUCUCUUUCCGCGGCGGGGUCUUUGGGGAGGUCGGUGCGUGGCAGAAGCACCGGUGCGGGACCGGAGGUGCCCCCGGCCCGCCGUGCUCUCCCCGCAGCCUCCCCACCGCCGGGCACCGGGGAGCCUCCCCGGGAGGGGCGCUUUGCACCAUCCGGAGGAGGAUGCGGCACCUCGGGGAACUUCUCAAGGUUUCAGCGUUCGGUUUGCAGGGUCACAAAGUGAGCUACCUUUGGACAAAGUUGUGGGUUUGUUUUUUUUUUUUUUAAAUAUCAUUUUACAAUGUGUCUUUUAAAACAAUGUUGUCUUUAAGGCUCGAGGCGUGCUGUAUGUGUUGACCUUGCAAGUGAGGAUUAAUUGAACUUCUCUUCCAGGGCCCAAUCCAGAGCUUAAGGAGACUGUGGAGGAGUUUCUGUCUCCCCAGGCUUCAGACCGGCAGCUUUGCAGUGCUGUCGGACGCUUGGCAAAGCGGGUUUUUUCCCCUCAUGUGACAUAUAAUUAACACACACCUCUAUAACGCCCGUCUCCUUGGGUUUUCAUAGCUCUUGUAUAAGUUUACCUUACUAAAAUUCCGUCAGUCAGGUAAAUUGUAUUUCAUCUCAUUUAGGGGUGGCUGAGUCAAAGCAAUAAUCGCUAUUUUUAGUCCGCCUUCCCUCUCCUGCGGAGCAGCUUCCCCGGCAGAUUUGAACCCCAUUGCGUGGCUGAGGCUGGGAAAGGCUUUGUGGGACGCUCGGAGCGUUGGGGCAAGCCCACGGAGGUAGGAGUGGAAACAAGAGCCCCUCUUUGCUGCUCCCUGCCUUCCACUACAAGUCAAAUUCCUGCAGAAGAAGCCCCCAAGGACAGCAGGAAUUCGAGACAUUGGUUUUCUUGCACGCUGCUGCCUUUCACCGCUCCCUGGCUCUGCCCGAGGCAGGGAGUUGCAUUUCCCAGCCCACACACUUGAAUUCCUCUUUGUCCAGCGCAGGUAGAAGGACGACGACAGCUCUCGGUAGUUGCUUCCUCUCGCUCCAGAGAUGGGCGCGGGGAAGAGGUGGUGCCUGUGACCGGAGCAGGGAAUAGUCUGGCAGCUGCAGGGCGAACAAUGGAGGAACAUGUCCCCCAGCAGCUCUUUUCCAACCCAUGAACAUUUACCUGGCGCUGAUACAAGAAACUCUGCACACCUGCACUGGGCAGGACUCCACUGACCUCUCUCCUGCUUGAAAUGCAAGCGGAGGAGUACACGGGAUUCCUAAGCCUCUUUCUAGGCUUCAUCGUGGCAGCAGAUAUCAGAGAAAAAGGACAUUUAUUUUUAGACAGCUUUGACCUCAGUGUGAGUCAAAGGCAGCGAGGGGUUCAUGAAACUCUUUACAUUUGGCCUGGUGUGGCAUUUCCGCUAAAAUGAAAUAAAGUAGCCCUUCCUAACAAAUAAACAUGCAUUUUCAUGUUUGUUAAU